GUCCCUGUGGCGCAGCGGAAGCGCGCGGCCCUCCGAAGGCCGAGGCCGCCGGUUCGAAUCCGUCCAGGGACGCCA
Molecule: transfer RNA, 75 nt
Filed under: Micromonosporaceae bacterium
Lineage: Bacteria; Bacillati; Actinomycetota; Actinomycetes; Micromonosporales; Micromonosporaceae
Description: tRNA-Arg
Rfam family: tRNA
About the family: Transfer RNA (tRNA) molecules are approximately 80 nucleotides in length.
Source: RNAcentral